CAUCACAGCUUCUUAGAAGAAGGUCCUGAGCUUUGGAAAACUCUGAGAAUUUUCAGUUCUGUUGAUCUUAGUUAAUGUCGUCCUCCAGAUCCUGUCCUUGCCUAAGAGGCUUGCAGCACAUUCCAGAGCACAUCUGAAUCCCAGAAUUCACUAUAAUUGGCAAGAAAAGGAGAAUGUACUGGAAGUACCAUACCUGUACAAGCAGAGAGUUUCUCUGGUUCAAGAGGUGCCAGCAUUGGAGAAUUCACUCUAGGAAAGAUUUUCAUUGGAUAAAUUGGAUUUGGAAACAGGCUAUUAUGAUUAAAUAAUGAAUAAAUAUUUGCUCCUACUUACUCAGAUGCAUUAAUGUGUAAUCUGGGUUUAUUUAAUUCAUUCAUGUCAGAAAAUUGAUUAAUGGUAUUUUAGCUACUUUUGGAUGCCUGUGAAUGUAAAUUUUUUUCCCUUAUGAACUCUAAAUACAGUGGAACAUAAUUUUUCAUAUGAUUUCAAUGGAACUAACAUUUACACCUCAAUAGCUUUGCAACAUUGCAAUAUUUAAUUAAAUGACACGUGGAGUUACAUGCAUUGUCUAUAAAAGCUGAACGUAAACUAAUAACAGAAAGCUACUGGCCCAGUGGAUGCAUUUUCAUGUCUGAGUACAUAAAAUGAUCACAACUUUGCCACAAUGCAUAUUAUGCUACUUGACUCAGACUCCCAGGCCUAAAAGGAUUAAAUUUGUCUCUUUUUUUUAUAGUACUUAUAGUACAUAAAGAAAAGUUCUUUUUAAGUGCUGUAGCUAGCCAUAGUUCCCUGAUUCUAAACCUAGUUUUGAAACCAG
Long non-coding RNA from Oxyura jamaicensis (ruddy duck), 817 nucleotides. RefSeq lists it as uncharacterized. The record is from RefSeq and is a predicted model, not a curated record. NCBI's taxonomy places the organism in Eukaryota, Metazoa, Chordata, Aves, Anseriformes, Anatidae. The transcript has 3 exons.